UAAUCUGCCCACUGAUUUAAUAAUUAAAGGGCUGCAGUAUAUUGACUGUACAAAGGUAGCAUAAUCAUUAGUCAUUUAAUUGAUGACUUGUAUGAAAGAUUGGAUGAAAUAUAAACUGUCUCUUAAUUAAAUAUAGAAUUUAAUUUUUUAAUUAAAAAGUUAAAAUAAAUUAAAAAGACGAGAAGACCCUAUAGAGUUUUAUAAUUAAUUUAAUUAAGAUUAUUUAAUAAUAUAAAAUUAAAAUUAAGUUAUUUAUUUUGUUGGGGUGAUAGAAAAAUAUAUUAAACUUUUUUUAAUUAAAAACAUUUAUAAGUGAUUAAAUGAUCCAAUAUUAUUGAUUAUAAGAAAAAAUUACCUUAGGGAUAACAGCGUAAUUUUUUUUUUUAGUUCAAAUAAGAAAAAGAGUUUGCGACCUCGAUGUUGGAUUAAGAUAAAAUUUAAAUGCAGAAG
Molecule: ribosomal RNA, 450 nt
Filed under: Chortodes extremus
Lineage: Eukaryota; Metazoa; Arthropoda; Insecta; Lepidoptera; Noctuidae
Description: partial 16S large subunit ribosomal RNA
Source: RNAcentral